RNAcentral lists this ribosomal RNA (176 nucleotides) under uncultured bacterium. RNAcentral's name for it is "partial 16S ribosomal RNA". It matches the Rfam family "Bacterial small subunit ribosomal RNA", at positions 335 to 526 of the family's 1533-position model. The record is from RNAcentral.
ACUCCUACGGGAGGCAGCAGUGGGGAAUUUUCCGCAAUGGGCGAAAGCCUGACGGAGCAAUACCGCGUGAGGGAUGAAAGCCUGUGGGUUGUAAACCUCUUUUCUCAAGGAAGAAGUUUUGACGGUACUUGAGGAAUAAGCAUCGGCUAACUCUGUGCCAGCAGCCGCGGUAAUAC